RNAcentral lists this ribosomal RNA (252 nucleotides) under uncultured microorganism. Its description in RNAcentral is "partial small subunit ribosomal RNA". It matches the Rfam family "Bacterial small subunit ribosomal RNA", at positions 524 to 776 of the family's 1533-position model. The record is from RNAcentral.
UACGUAGGGCGCAGGCGUUAUCCGGAAUUAUUGGGCGUAAAGAGCUCGUAGGCGGCUUGUCGCGUCCGGCGUGAAAGUCCAUCGCUCAACGGUGGAUUUGCGCCGGGUACGGCAGGCUGGAGUGCGGCAAGGGAGACUGGAAUUCCCGGUGUAACGGUGGAAUGUGUAGAUAUCGGGAAGAACACCAAUGGCGAAGGCAGGUCUCUGGGCCGUUACUGACGCUGAGGAGCGAAAGCGUGGGGAGCGAACAGG